Molecule: ribosomal RNA, 229 nt
Filed under: uncultured bacterium
Lineage: Bacteria
Description: partial 16S ribosomal RNA
Rfam family: Bacterial small subunit ribosomal RNA
Source: RNAcentral
CGCGUAGGCGGUCUUGUCGGUCAGAUGUGAAAGCCCGGGGCUCAACCCUGGAAGUGCAUUUGAAACAGCAAGACUUGAAUACUGGAGAGGAGAGCGGAAUUCCUGGUGUAGAGGUGAAAUUCGUAGAUAUCAGGAGGAACACAGAUGGCGAAGGCAGCUCUCUGGACAGAUAUUGACGCUGAGGCGCGAAGGUGUGGGUAGCGAACAGGAUUAGAUACCCUGGUAGUCC